Molecule: unclassified non-coding RNA, 374 nt
Filed under: uncultured Alphaproteobacteria bacterium
Lineage: Bacteria; Pseudomonadati; Pseudomonadota; Alphaproteobacteria
Description: contains 16S-23S intergenic spacer region
Source: RNAcentral
UCCGGCUUGUCGCCGGCGGUCCCUUUAGAGUGCCCAACUGAAUGAUGGCAACUAAAGGAGAGGGUUGCGCUCGUUGCGGGACUUAACCCAACAUCUCACGACACGAGCUGACGACAGCCAUGCAGCACCUGUCUCCGCGCCCCUUGCGGGGACCGCCCAUCUCUGAGCGUAGCACGGGAUGUCAAACCCUGGUAAGGUUCUGCGCGUUGCGUCGAAUUAAACCACAUGCUCCACCGCUUGUGCGGGUCCCCGUCAAUUUCUUUGAGUUUUAAUCUUGCGACCGUACUCCCCAGGCGGGAUGCUUAACGCGUUAGCUGCGCCACUGAGGGGUAACCCCCCAACGGCUAGCAAGCACCGUUUAGGGCUAGGACUAC